UACAUGGGGUGCAAACGUUGCUCGGAAUUAUUGGGCGUAAAGGGUGCGUAGGCGGUUUGGUAAGUCUUAUGUGAAAUCUACAGGCUCAACUUGUAGUCUGCAUGAGAAACUGCCGGGCUUGAGUGUGGGAGAGGUGAGUGGAAUUCCUGGUGUAGCGGUGAAAUGCGUAGAUAUCAGGAGGAACACCUGUGGCGAAAGCGGCUCACUGGACCAUAACUGACGCUGAUGCACGAAAGCUAGGGGAGCAAACAGG
RNAcentral lists this ribosomal RNA (253 nucleotides) under uncultured bacterium. RNAcentral's name for it is "partial 16S ribosomal RNA". It matches the Rfam family "Bacterial small subunit ribosomal RNA", at positions 524 to 776 of the family's 1533-position model. The record is from RNAcentral.